AAUCCAUGAUGUGGACAUUGUAACAAGAUAUCAUGGAACCUCUCUACAUACUCAUAAAGAGGUUCUCCUUCUUGUUGUGAAAAACAAUACAGUUUUUGACGAAU
Small nucleolar RNA from Papaver somniferum (opium poppy), 104 nucleotides. NCBI's taxonomy places the organism in Eukaryota, Viridiplantae, Streptophyta, Magnoliopsida, Ranunculales, Papaveraceae. The record is from RefSeq and is a predicted model, not a curated record.